AUUGAACGCUGGCGGCAGGCCUAACACAUGCAAGUCGAACGGUAACAGGGAGAGGGUUUCUUCUUUGCUGACGAGUGGCGGGGGGGUGAGUAAUGUCUGUGAAACUGCCUGUUGGAGGGGGGGAACUCCUGGAAACGGUAGCGAAUACCGCAUAACGUCCCAAGAGCAAAAAGCAGGAGCUUCUGGCACCUUGCGAUAUGGAGUGACCCGAUGGGAUUAGCUAGUGGGGGGGGUAACGGCCCACCAAGGCGACGAUCCGUAGCUGGUCUGAGAGGAUGAUCAGCCACACUGGAACUGAGACACGGUCCAGACUCCUACGGGAGGCAGCAGUGGGGAAUAUUGGACAAUGGGCGCAAGCCUGAUCCAGCCAUGCCGCGUGUGUGAAGAAGGCCUUCGGGUUGUAAAGCCCUUUUGUUGGGAAAGAAAAGCAUCAGGUUAAUACCCCGCUGCUCUGACGGUACCCAAAGAAUAAGCACCGGCUAACUUCGUG
Molecule: ribosomal RNA, 490 nt
Filed under: uncultured bacterium
Lineage: Bacteria
Description: partial 16S ribosomal RNA
Rfam family: Bacterial small subunit ribosomal RNA
Source: RNAcentral